RNAcentral lists this ribosomal RNA (429 nucleotides) under Actinomycetes bacterium. RNAcentral describes it as "Actinobacteria bacterium partial 16S ribosomal RNA". It matches the Rfam family "Bacterial small subunit ribosomal RNA", at positions 355 to 776 of the family's 1533-position model. The record is from RNAcentral. Lineage: Bacteria; Bacillati; Actinomycetota; Actinomycetes.
UAGGGAAUCUUCCGCAAUGGGCGAAAGCUUGACGGAGCAACGCCGCGUGAGUGAUGAAGGUCUUCGGAUCGGAAAACUCUGUUAUUAGGGAAGAAAAAAUGUGUAAGUAACUAUGCACGUCUUGACGGUACCUAAUCAGAAAGCCACGGCUAACUACGUGCCAGCAGCCGCGGUAAUACGUAGGUGGCAAGCGUUAUCCGGAAUUAUUGGGCGUAAAGCGCGCGUAGGCGGUUUUUUAAGUCUGAUGUGAAAGCCCACGGCUCAACCGUGGAGGGUCAUUGGAAACUGGAAAACUUGAGUGCAGACGAGGAAAGUGGAAUUCCAUGUGUAGCGGUGAAAUGCGCAGAGAUAUGGAGGAACACCAGUGGCGAAGGCGACUUUCUGGUCUGUAACUGACGCUGAUGUGCGAAAGCGUGGGGAUCAAACAGG